Molecule: ribosomal RNA, 394 nt
Filed under: uncultured bacterium
Lineage: Bacteria
Description: bacterial SSU rRNA
Rfam family: Bacterial small subunit ribosomal RNA
Source: RNAcentral
GGAUUAGAUACCCCGGUAGUCCACGCCGUAAACGGUGGGUACUAGGUGUGGGUUUCCUUCCUUGGGAUCCGUGCCGUAGCUAACGCAUUAAGUACCCCGCCUGGGGAGUACGGCCGCAAGGCUAAAACUCAAAGAAAUUGACGGGGGCCCGCACAAGCGGCGGAGCAUGUGGAUUAAUUCGAUGCAACGCGAAGAACCUUACCUGGGUUUGACAUGCACAGGACGUGCCUAGAGAUAGGUAUUCCCUUGUGGCCUGUGUGCAGGUGGUGCAUGGCUGUCGUCAGCUCGUGUCGUGAGAUGUUGGGUUAAGUCCCGCAACGAGCGCAACCCUUAUCUUAUGUUGCCAGCACGUUAUGGUGGGGACUCGUGAGAGACUGCCGGGGUCAACUCGGAG